Molecule: ribosomal RNA, 468 nt
Filed under: uncultured bacterium
Lineage: Bacteria
Description: partial 16S ribosomal RNA
Rfam family: Bacterial small subunit ribosomal RNA
Source: RNAcentral
GACGAACGCUGGCGGCGUGCUUAACACAUGCAAGUCGAACGGAAAGGCCCUGCUUUUGUGGGGUGCACGAGUGGCGAACGGGUGAGUAACACGUGAGUAACCUGCCCUUGACUUUGGGAUAACUUCAGGAAACUGGGGCUCAUACCGGAUAGGAGCUCCUGCUGCAUGGUGGGGGUUGGAAAGAUUCGGCGGUUGGGGAUGGACUCGCGGCUUAUCAGCUUGUUGGUGGGGUAGUGGCUUACCAAGGCUUUGACGGGUAGCCGGCCUGAGAGGGUGACCGGCCACAUUGGGACUGAGAUACGGCCCAGACUGCUACGGGAGGCAGUAGUGGGGAAUAUUGCACAAUGGGCGGAAGCCUGAUGCAGCAACGCCGCGUGCGGGAUGACGGCCUUCGGGUUGUAAACCGCUUUCGCCUGUGACGAAGCGUGAGUGACGGUAAUGGGUAAAGAAGCACCGGCUAACUACGUG